This 4184-nucleotide long non-coding RNA is filed under the name Homo sapiens (human). Its description in RNAcentral is "non-protein coding lnc-POC5-4:2". Lineage: Eukaryota; Metazoa; Chordata; Mammalia; Primates; Hominidae. The record is from RNAcentral.
AGUUUCCCUCCUGCAGCGUCCGGAGGUGCUGCUCUGGGUACCUUCUCAAGUCCCUUCGACCCAGCCCGCCCCGCAGCCUGAUUUUCUGAGACCUCGUCCCGGGACUCACGGAGCUCGUGUCCGGCAACUGCUGUGUCCUCCUCUCCAAGACCCUCCCGCUUCGGGAUCCGGGACAGGCUCCUCCAAGGCAGGGCGGCCGCGCCCCACAGGUCUUCCCUGAGACCCUUGGCGGCCGCAGCAGCCCGGAGCAGCAGCCCCCCUGCCGUGGCCCCUUGGCCCCGGGCGCGCCCGGCGGGGUCCAUAGUCUCCUCCGCGGGCCCUGAGCGCAGGGCCAGACCCAGACUCGGACCCAGAUCCAGACCCAGACUCGGACACAGAUCCAGACCCAGGCAGGCCCAGGGCGCGGGGGCUGGACGCAGGCAGGUCAGCCCGGCCGGAGCGCAGGAUCGAGUCCGCUCUCUGUUGUGGCGGUUCGCUGGGCAACAAGCCCCUAGUUUCCAGCCCUGCCCUGACUUGGGCUGGCCUGGGAUAAUCCGCCCUCAGGUGUGGCGUGCACAGUGCUAAGGUUUGGUUCUCUGGAAAAUAAAACAUCCAGCGACCAUCGAGAACGGGCCAUGAUGACAAUGGCGGUUUUGUCGAAUAGAAAAGGGGGAAAUGUGGGGAAAAGAGAGAGAGAUCAGAUUGUUACCGUGUCUGUGUAGAAAGAAGUAGAAAUAGGAGACUCCAUAUUGUUCUGUACUAAGAAAAAUUCUUCCGCCUUGGGAUGCUGUUAAUCUAUAACCUUACCCCCAACCCCGUUCUCUCUGCAACAUGUGCUGUGUCAACUCAGGGUUAAGUGGAUUAAGGGCGCUGCAAGAUGUGCUUUGUUAAACAGAUGCUUGAAGGCAGCAUGCUCGUUAAGUCAUCACCACUCCCUAAUCUCAAGUACCCAGGGACACAAACACUGCGGAAGGCCGCAGGGACCUCUGCCUAGGAAAACCAGAGACCUUUGUUCACGUGUUUAUCUGCUGAUCUUCUCUCCACUAUUAUCCUAUGACCCUGCCACAUCCCCCUCUCCGAGAAACACCCAAGAAUGAUCAAUAAAUACUAAAAAAAAAAAAAAAAAGAAUAAGCAGAGAAAUUGGGGAGGGUAUUCAAAGCUGAACAACUAAUGGUCCAAGGAUAUCACUAUCACUAUCAUUAACACAUGCUUUAGUCACCAGGAACUGCCAAUUUUACUUCUCAAAUCUCUUAAUUACAUCUGCUUCUCCAUUUUUAUUUCCAUUGCCAUCAUUGCUUGUCACUGAAUUUAUUGUAAUAACUUCUUCAUAAGAAUUUAUUGUAAUACCUUCUUCAUAAGAAUUUGUUGUUAGAUGGAUUUAUUGUCUGUUGCUACAUUUCAGGCACAGAAUUAAGCACCUUUUGCACAGCCUCACUUAAUUCUGAGGUAUGGUGUAUUCUAUUAUUAGCCCCGUUUGAUAGAAAAGGAUUCUGAGGCUUGAAGACGUUGGUGGAAGAAACAGAACUUGCCCCUAACGAGCAUGACUUCUAAGAAUGUGUUGUCAAGGGCGUGACUCACUCACCUUGCUCUACAGCAGGGGGUCACUUUGCUCCAUCCCCAGGCCAAAUCCCGCUGCUGCCUGUUAUUGUAAAUAAAAUUUGUUUUAACACAUUAAAAAAAAAAAUUCCUGCAAAAUCUACAAGCCCCAAUGAACUCCCAGCUCUACUCUACCACUUCUUUGUAUAAUUUUGAGAAAUGUCAAGGUUGAAUUUAUAACUAACACUAUAGGAACUUCAAUAUUAAAUCAUUUCUAAAUGGGCUUCCAACAUUUUCUUUUGAAUAAAGUAAGACUUGAUUUCUCAUUUGAAGACCAUGAAUUUUAAUCUUUCCUGGCGGAUUCUUUUGAAAAGUGAAAUAAUACAGAAGCAAGUCAAAUUCUGACCCCCCAAAUAAACUUCAAAUAAGAAAGGUAAUCAGGUUUUCAUUUAUUUAUUCUUCUUACAAAUUUACAAAAGAUGUAUCAUUUUAAUGUAAAUUAUGUAAUAUCAAUGUUCAUUUCAAACUUGUCAGUUUUUCCCUUCAAAUUAUUGUGCACCAAAUUUGAGGCAUUAAAUUCAAAACAAUGUUUCCUAAUCAAUGAAAAAACAAACAUGACAAAAUAUUAUUUAUUUUAUCAGAACACCGCCCAUAACCUCAAACUUUCCUCUUUUAAAAAAGGGAAAUGGGCCUAAUGUUUGUAAUAGAGAUAUGAUAAAAACAAUAGCAGGUAAGUUGAAUUGAGUAUUAUGCAGAAAUAUCAGACAAUGUACUAAUAUGGAAAGUAUAAUAUGUAAAUGGAAAAACAGGGCACCAAAUUAUAUGUAUAUGUAGCAUGUUUACAAGUAAAAUUCUAAAAAUCAAAAGAAAAUACCCACACAAAAGAAGGAAUAAUAGUGAAAACAGCAGCAGAUCAAUGGAAAGCAUACAGCCAAGUACAGAAAAAUCUCCCAGUCUGGGUAACAAAGUGAGACCCCCUCUCUACAAAAAUUAGCCAGGCAUGGUGGUGCAUGCCUGUAGUCCCAGCUACUUGGGAGGCUGAGGUGGGAGGAUGGCUUCAGCCUGGGAGGCAGAGGUUGCAAUGAGCCAAGAUUGUGCCACUGUGUGCCAGUCUGCGUGAUAGAGCCAGACCCUAUCUCAAAAAAAAAAUUUUUUUUUAAUAUAAAUAAAAAAUAAUUUUAAAAAAAGAUCUGAAUUGUGUUAUCCAAGUUUGAAACUGCUUUCAAAUUCUAAACCAAGAAAUUUACUUUUAAAAAAAUCCUCUUAUCAAUGACAGGAGAAAAUGCAUCAUCAUUUUAUGCUAUAUAGCCUUAUAAUAGUAUGUGGUACUUAUCUUACUCUAACAGAUGAGACAAAAACUCCAAAGCAGUGCAUUAUGUGAAACUUAGCCAUAGCUGGACUUUAUUUCCCUGACAGCUUGGGCUAAAUAAGAAGCUAUGAAGUAUACUGUGGGAGGUAUUUUCUUUUUCACUCUGUUUCAAAUAUCAGGUUAGUUCUCAAGCAGAAUAUUAAUUCUAAGCGUGCUAAUACAUAAAAGCUUGCCCACAUGAUCUGGCCCUACUCAUCUCUCUGAUCUUGGGCCCUACAAUUCUUCUCCAUUCUUCAUCCACUGUUUCCUGGUGGAGAGCCAUCAGCUUCUAUUUCCUCCCUUUGCCUAGAACUUCUCUCCCCCACCUCCACUUCCGAAUUUUUAAAAUAGUUUUGAUCCUUCGUAUCAUUAAGGUUUCAGGUUAAAUGUCACUUCCUCAGAGGAGCCUUCUCGGAUCAUCUUAUUCUAAAAGUGUCCCCUACCUUCAUGUUCCAUUCCCUUAUGCUGUUGUCUCUUUCCUUUGUAACACUUACCACUGAAAUGUCUAUUUGUUUAGUGUCGGUUUCCACAACUAGAAUGUAAACUUCAUAAAUACAGUGAUUUUUAAAACUUUGUUGGGCCAGGCGUGGUGUCUCAUGCCUAUAAUCCCAGCAAUUUGAGAGGCCGAAGUGGGAGGAUGGCUUGAGGCCAGGAGUUUGAGGCCAACCUGGGCAACUUAGUGAGACUCCAGUCUCCACAAAAAAUUUAAAAAUUAGCUGGUGGUGGUGGGGCAGACCUGUAGUCUUAGCUACUUGGGAAGCUGAGAUGGGAGUAUGGCCUGAGCCACGGAGGUCAAGGCUGCAGCAAGCUGUUAUCAUGUCACUGCAUUCCAACCUGGGUGACAGAGCAAGACUCUGUCUCAAAAAAAAAAAAAAUUAAUUAAGUUUCUUACUGCAUCUCCAGUGGCUAAAACAGUACCCGACCUGCAAUAAGUAUUUGUCAAAUAAAUAUGGAAUGCAAUUUAGCCAUGGGAACAGUAACUUGUCUUUGAGUCCUGAAAGCUUUAAGUUUUUCCCCUAAAGGUCUAGACUAAAAAAAUAUGUUCAAUUCUGAAGUAAACCUUUAAAACCAGGUCCUGUUCAAGGAUUCCAUAUUUUUAAAAACAUCUUCCUAGAUUUCUCUUUGCCCUCCUCUACCAGACGAUUUCUCCCUAGACUCCCACUUUGUAUAUUCAUCUAUUAUAGCCCUCCCUACAUUGAAUAGAAACUGUCCCUGGGGUGGCUCUCCAUUUUUUGAGGACAAACAUGUCUUAAUAAUCUUUAUGUCCUUUAUCAGCUAGGAUUCAGCUAUAAUUAAUAGGAAAACCCAAGUAACUAUGGC